GCUGCGUGGAGCGGAACUGUGACAGAGACCCUGCGAUUCCUGGGAGCUGGCUGAUGACAUCAGUGUCUAACCUCCAUGGCGCGGCGACGGGGUACUAGCGGCCGCCGACGGCGAGCAUCAAAUGAAACCAAGAAAGUUAACAAUGGCAACUCAACAACAGAAGACUCUCCUCUUGUCAAGAAAGCUCGAACAUGUGAGAGAAAAGGAGUGAAAAAGGAUCAUGCAGCUGGAGAAGAAGCUAAGAACAGGACAGAAGACAGGCAAGAAACCGUGAAAGCCUUGUUGUUAAAGGGGAAAGCCCCUGUGGACCCAGAGUGUACAGCCAAGGUGGGAAAGGCUCAUGUGUAUUGUGAAGGAAAUGAUGUCUAUGAUGUCAUGCUAAAUCAAACCAAUCUUCAGUUCAACAACAACAAGUACUAUCUUAUUCAGUUGUUAGAAGAUGAUGCCCAGAGAAACUUCAGUGUUUGGAUGAGAUGGGGCCGAGUUGGGAAAACUGGGCAGCACAGUUUGGUGGCUUGUUCAAGCAACCUCCAUAAGGCCAAGGAAAUCUUUCAGAAAAAAUUCCUUGACAAAACCAAAAAUAAUUGGGAGGAUCGUGAGAAGUUUGAGAAGGUGCCUGGAAAAUAUGAUAUGCUACAGAUGGACUAUUCCACCAGUACUCAGGAUGAAGAUGAAACAAAACAAGAGGAAUCUAUUAAAGCCCCCUUGAAGCCAAAGUCACAGCUAGAUCUUCGUGUACAGGAGCUGGUAAAGUUGAUCUGUAAUGUCCAGACCAUGGAAGAGAUGAUGAUUGAAAUGAAGUAUGAUACAAAGAAAGCCCCGCUUGGGAAGCUGACAGUAGCACAAAUCAAGGCAGGUUACCAGUCUCUCAAAAAGAUUGAGGAUUGUAUUCGGUCCGGCCGGUGUGGACGAGCUCUCCUGGAAGCAUGCAAUGAAUUCUAUACCAGGAUCCCACAUGACUUUGGACUCCGCACUCCUCCAUUAAUCCAGACAGAGAAGGAACUGUCAGACAAAAUACAGCUGCUAGAGGCUUUGAGAGACAUUGAAAUUGCCAUUAAACUGGUGAAGACAGAACUGCAAAGCCCAGAACACCCAUUGGACCAACACUACAGAAACCUGCACUGUGCCUUGCACCCUCUAGACCAUGAAAGUUAUGAGUUCAAAGUGAUUUCCCAAUACCUACAGUCUACCCAUGCUCCCACACACAAUGACUAUACCAUGACCUUGCUGGAUGUUUUUGAAGUAGAGAAGGAAGGUGAAAGAGAAGCCUUCAGAGAGGACCUUCAUAACAGGAUGCUGCUAUGGCAUGGUUCCAGGCUAAGUAACUGGGUAGGAAUUCUGAGCCAUGGGCUUCGAAUUGCCCCACCUGAGGCUCCCAUCACAGGUUACAUGUUUGGAAAAGGAAUCUACUUUGCUGACAUGUCUUCCAAGAGUGCCAAUUACUGCUUUGCCUCUCGCCUAAAGAACACAGGACUGCUACUUUUAUCAGAGGUAGCUCUAGGUCAGUGUAAUGAGCUACUAGAAGCCAAUCCUGAGGCAGAGGGAUUACUUCAGGACAAACACAGCACAAAAGGGCUGGGCAAGAUGGCUCCCAGUCCUGCCCACUUUGUCACCCUGAAUGGGAGUACAGUGCCCUUAGGACCACCAAGCGAUACAGGAAUUGUGAAUCCAGAGGGUUAUACCCUCAAUUACAAUGAGUUUAUUGUCUAUAACCCCAACCAGUGCUGGGGAUUAAACCCAUGGCCUUAGACAAAUGAGCUUAACAUCUCUAUCCUUUGAAGCUGUCACCAGCAACUCAGGCAGCACAUGGAGGGCUGUGACAGAGCCUGAGUGAAUCUGAAAGGAAUGGGACAGUGGCAAGGGAACUCACCAAGAGAGGAUGCCACAAACGUGUGGCCCCAUCCAGUCCAACAGUCACCACUAGAAGCUCUGAUCCAGG
This is an RNA transcript of Urocitellus parryii (Arctic ground squirrel), 1939 nucleotides long. It is a transcript of the gene named poly(ADP-ribose) polymerase 2, with no coding region annotated. Lineage: Eukaryota; Metazoa; Chordata; Mammalia; Rodentia; Sciuridae. The record is from RefSeq and is a predicted model, not a curated record.